RNAcentral lists this ribosomal RNA (468 nucleotides) under uncultured bacterium. RNAcentral's name for it is "partial 16S ribosomal RNA". It matches the Rfam family "Bacterial small subunit ribosomal RNA", at positions 28 to 507 of the family's 1533-position model. The record is from RNAcentral.
GACGAACGCUGGCGGCGUGCUUAACACAUGCAAGUCGAACGGAAAGGCCCUGCUUUUGUGGGGUGCUCGAGUGGCGAACGGGUGAGUAACACGUGAGUAACCUGCCCUUGACUUUGGGAUAACUUCAGGAAACUGGGGCUAAUACCGGAUAGGAGCUCCUGCUGCAUGGUGGGGGUUGGAAAGUUUCGGCGGUUGGGGAUGGACUCGCGGCUUAUCAGCUUGUUGGUGGGGUAGUGGCUUACCAAGGCUUUGACGGGUAGCCGGCCUGAGAGGGUGACCGGCCACAUUGGGACUGAGAUACGGCCCAGACUCCUACGGGAGGCAGCAGUGGGGAAUAUUGCACAAUGGGCUGAAGCCUGAUGCAGCAACGCCGCGUGCGGGAUGACGGCCUUCGGGUUGUAAGCCGCUUUCGCCUGUGACGAAGCGUGAGUGACGGUAAUGGGUAAAGAAGCACCGGCUAACUACGUG